Sitophilus oryzae (rice weevil) is the source of this 543-nucleotide long non-coding RNA. RefSeq lists it as uncharacterized. The transcript is spliced from 3 exons. The record is from RefSeq and is a predicted model, not a curated record. Lineage: Eukaryota; Metazoa; Arthropoda; Insecta; Coleoptera; Curculionidae.
AAAUUUUUAUAUACAAAUGAUAUAUAUUUGAUUUUUAGAGCAUUUUUUGCGUAUUAAUGAAAAAAAAUUGUCUACAAAAAUUUUUGUAGAUUUCUUAAAAAGUAAGGUAGCGGCAAACUAUAUUAAUCAAUGCCGGGAUAACAAGAAACACGGCCUCGCUGUUGUCUAAUAGAAGAUAUUAAUUAUAUGAUUCCGUGUAAUUCUACCAGGUAUGACGACCUGCGUUGGAUGUACUCUUGAUUUUUUUAUGGGUAGAUUUUAAUGGAAUAAAUUGGGAACCUGUCCCAAAUAUUGGCAUUUUAGAAUCAGCUUUUAGAGAAAUGGCACUCAUCAGGAUCAGUCGAAGAUAGGAAUAAAUGCCAGAGGAUGUUGUGUACUGCACUCGUGGCUUUGUUUAUUCUAGGAAAACUGCAUAGAAAAUGCCCAAGUAACAAGUUAAAUCCUUUUUCCGUUCUAUCUUCCCAGAUAUUUUCGCCAGAUCUUUGAAUAAAGAGAAUUUAGAUGGAUUCUGAUAAUAUCAGCACUUUGUUCUUCACUUAAUGA